RNAcentral lists this long non-coding RNA (814 nucleotides) under Phoenix dactylifera (date palm). RNAcentral describes it as "long non-coding RNA (PDAC_LNC007599)". Lineage: Eukaryota; Viridiplantae; Streptophyta; Magnoliopsida; Arecales; Arecaceae. The record is from RNAcentral.
CAGAUAAGAUAAUGAAAAAUAUCUAUCAUCCAAGCACCAAAAUCAAAAUGCUGGCAUCCAACUUUUUUAAAUAAUUGCACCUAUUGGGAUUUUCAUCCUUCUUAAAUUUGAAUUUUUCAUAAUACGGGAAUUGUUCAGCAACACCUCCUCUCCCCUUAUAGUAACCAUGUGCUGAUAUAUUAUAAUCUACGUUUCGAAAGGCCACUACUACUUGAUUUCUGAAAAUGCUGUAAUUACUAUAAAAUUCCUUCGGGCCAUGCCUUAGUAUGGGGCACCAUCAUGUUAUAAAUUGGAUAUUAUUUUAAUCUUUAUCUUUUCUAUUACAAACUUCAUCCGGUUUCUCCCCCUUUCUCUGCAACUCAUCUUCAUCAUUUGCUUGAAUACCAUGGAAUAGGAUGCUAAAUUUUAUGCCAGUGCUAAGUAGCACCAGAUAGACCUUGAAUGCAUUAGUGUUCUCAAGAGAGUUAAUAACCAAGUACUCAUAGAAUAAUCCAAUUUUUUUCAUUGUUGGACCAAUUUUCCAUUCUAGGGUUCUUUGAGCCCUAUCUUCUUUCCCUCCUUAUUCUUCCUACAAAGUCUUCAUGUAUGAAAGAUCAGGCUGAAAAGUUUGAUCUGGAAUAUCCAAGCUACCACCACCUGUGGCCUACUAAGACUCUUCUCUAGAAUCUUUGUUAUGAAUGAGUUUUCGAAUAAAAGACCACUAUUUAGGAAGCUAAUGAUCUCCUUGACCCUUUAUCCCUUUUGAAGUCUCCUCACACAACCAUCCAUCUUGAUCAUGGCGCCUGCCUAUUUAUAAUCACCCACUUUCAAACAC